GCUGGCUUCCUUGCUUACAUGACUAUUCAGAAGGUAUCAGUGUUGUUGAAAUGUGGAACGCCAAGGCAAGAAAAGUCAAAAGACCUUGAUCUUACUGUUGGUGCUGAGUGGAAAGCCCACACUCCAGAAGCUCAUUAAAAGGGCCAAGUUACAGUACAGGUUUAUUUCUGUCACAGCGUUUCUGAAAACAGUGACAAGGAUUAAUAUGUUUCUUUAGUACUGGAAAAAGCCUGACACAAUCCCUUGUGAAUUUGAUCAUCUGUUUCAUUGCCUGUAUAAGAUUCAAUCUCUUAUUAUAUCCUGAAGUUACAGCUGUAAACUAAUGCUGGUAAGAAUUCAUAAGCUAUUGCAGAAGCCUGGGGCAAAACUAAUUGUUUUAUUCAGCAGUCACUUAUUUAUUUAUUAUUUAUUUCAUACCCCUCUGUCUCAUCUUUUCUACUCUUCCUCUUCAAAGUCAAAAUUGUCUUGGCUCUUUGUCUGAAAGUACAGAGCAAAUAUAGAGACAUGGGGAAUUCAUGUUUCCGGGAGCUUUCAAAAAAGUUGUUACAGGUCGGUGGAUCAUGAAAAUAAGGUCCACUCUAAAUCUUUUAUAAAACUAUUCUUGCUUUCCUUUCCUUGACAUGGAGAUUCUUUAUUAAAAAGCAUUAUCUGCACAAACAUUAGAACCUUUGUGUUCUAUGUAAUCAUGUGACAUUAGGCUUUCUCCGCUAGUGGUUGCUAUGUUUCUAGGACAUGAUUUGACAUGUGGUACAUGCAAAUCCUAGUAAAGUGUAAACUAUAUCAUAAAAUGAUACCAUUUUGCAUCACAUUCAACAGGCAAAUAGCUAUUUGCUGUUUUAAAAAAUUAAAAGUUGUAACAAUAUGCUGUAUGGAUUCCAUAAAACAAAUCAUCAUUUAAACUAAGGAAUCGCUCUCUUCUUCUCUUUCUCAAGUUAGUUGUAGAUGAAUAUUCAUUUCUUAACUACCUACCAGUUUUUGUCAUUAUGGCAAAUUUUAUGCUAUAUUAGAAUUUUAGAUACAAAAAUAUAUGUUCAAAAUUUCAAACAUUGUGCAAGUAUGAAAUAAUCCAUUUGUGUUCACUUUAUGAGAGUUGGUGGAAAUUAUUACAAGAUUAGGUACAAGCAGUAUGUUCAGGCAAUGUCUGAAAUUAGAUCAUAAGCUUCCCUCGUUCUUAACAGAAGUUGUGUGCCUAAUUCCCUAUGCACUACAGACAUUUUAACCCACAAUAACUGAUUGUAAAUACAGUAUGAAACUAGCUACAGCCUUAUUUACACCUGCCAAUUUGCUGCCCUCCAGCACUAAAAACAAAAACAAAAUGGUAGCAAAAGAACUGCCAAGCAAAACACACUCUGCCCCUCAUGUACAUUCCUUUCUAUUUCCGCAAACAGAACCUUUUGCUUCUUGGUUUUCAUAAACAAAUUCAAUUGGGGAAUUUAAAAUAAAGUUACAGAACAAGGCAUUUGCAUGACAUGGCAAUAACAAAAUAAUUUUUAAAAUGGCCAGCUCUUCCAAAUGUGUGUCCCCUUAAAAUAAUGUAAAUGCUGUAAGUGCUUCAUGGCACUUUUAAUUAAGAAUAACGCAUGGGAAAAGAAAAUAAGGAAAUCACACAUGUGCCACUCAAUGUAUAUGUCGCAAUGGCAGCCACCUAUUUUUACUCAAUAACUACAAGAUUUACACUCAGUUUUGUUCAUAUAAUAGAACUCCAUGUUAUUCAUUAGAAAGAAUGUAUCACAGAUAUUUGGUUGAUACGGUUGCAUUCCCUGUUGCUUUUUUGUGCUUCCCUGUCAUAUCUCAUUUACAUAAUGGCAGCCCAAUUAUUUCCAUUUCUAUUUUUUCGGAAACUUAAAGCGUUUGUCAACAUUUUUGUGAAGAUUCCCUACAAACUUGAUUCAACGAAAAUAACUACUGCUAAAUGCUAGACAGUAGCUUACCCUUCCAUUGUGGAUAGCAAUGAUUUGCAUCAUUGCAUAUAUUACUUGACUUGCAUGUAUUAAAAUAGUAAAUAAGGCAUACAAUAAUAUUGCAUACAUAAUGAUAUGAA
This is a long non-coding RNA of Herpailurus yagouaroundi (jaguarundi), 2041 nucleotides long. RefSeq lists it as uncharacterized. Lineage: Eukaryota; Metazoa; Chordata; Mammalia; Carnivora; Felidae. The transcript has 3 exons. The record is from RefSeq and is a predicted model, not a curated record.